Molecule: long non-coding RNA, 228 nt
Filed under: Lepeophtheirus salmonis (salmon louse)
Lineage: Eukaryota; Metazoa; Arthropoda; Copepoda; Siphonostomatoida; Caligidae
Description: uncharacterized LOC121121594
Source: RNAcentral
AGUUAUCAUAACUAAGUAUUGGAAUAUUUAGUUGAAUUUUUAAGCAAAAUAAAAUCAAUAUUGAAAUCAAGGAGCUUGAACAAUAUUUGUGAAACCUCAUUGUGUAUUGCAAAAUCCUAGAUUUGAACUUCAAAAUAAAUAAUGAUGUAUUGUAAAAUUUUGGUUCAACUAAUCUUACAUCGAUAUAAGUUUCGACGUAGUGUUGAUCUUGGUCCGUAAACACUAAAU